CAGCAGACCUGCCUGCUCUCUGUGCUGCUGCUCACCACGGCCGCGUGCCAUUCCCCUGCCAGGGAGCCUUGGGACGGGACUCCCGUUAGAAGUCUGAUGGCAACACGUGUCUGCCUCCCCCAGAGCAGAUGAACAGAACCUCCUAGAGAGCAACUUUCAAUGCCCCGACCUUCAGCAGAGGAUGAAGAGCAGAUCUCUCCUCCUGCUCCCGGGAGGGUGGGACGGCAAGGCCCUCCCGGUCCAAUGUGACGGCAGGAUUAGCCUAGUGGCUGC
This 273-nucleotide long non-coding RNA is filed under the name Homo sapiens (human). RNAcentral describes it as "long non-coding RNA NONHSAT188314". Lineage: Eukaryota; Metazoa; Chordata; Mammalia; Primates; Hominidae. The record is from RNAcentral.